This 410-nucleotide unclassified non-coding RNA is filed under the name plant metagenome. RNAcentral's name for it is "partial contains small subunit ribosomal RNA, internal transcribed spacer 1, and 5.8S ribosomal RNA". The record is from RNAcentral.
UUUCCGUAUGUGAACCUGCGGAAGGAUCAUUAACACGUUCCAAAACCUAAUCAACCAAUCUGAGAAUAUGUAUCUGCUGGGAUGAAUGUAUAUGUAAUAUCAUUCAUUUCAGCCCACACAUAUAAAUUAUAUGGAGCUCUUUUGUUCUUAUUGGGCAAAUGUAGUUUCUCCGUAUAAUUUGUAUGUUUUUUUUUCCACGCCCUAGAUGAAGUCCAUCUCGUGAGAGAGCGACGAAUUCUAUUAUAUAUAUCAAUAUCUUAUCUUAUUGCUACAUUCUCAUAGAUUUCAAGUGUCGAUUAGCUAGUAUGUAAAAAUGUUAGCCCGACUGCUAUGUUAUAGUAAUGUAGUCAAUAUAGAACUAAUUAUCUAAUUAAUAAGAACAACUCUUAGCAAUGGAUAUCUUGGUUCUC